CGGCGGACGGGUGAGUAAUGUAUGGGGAUCUGCCUGAUGGCGGGGGAUAACUACUGGAAACGGUAGCUAAUACCGCAUAAUGUCUACGGACCAAAGCGGGGGACCUCCGGGCCUCGCGCCAUCAGAUGAACCCAUAUGGGAUUAGCUAGUAGGUAAGGUAACGGCUUACCUAGGCGACGAUCCCUAGCUGGUCUGAGAGGAUGACCAGCCACACUGGGACUGAGACACGGCCCAG
RNAcentral lists this ribosomal RNA (235 nucleotides) under uncultured bacterium. Its description in RNAcentral is "partial 16S ribosomal RNA". It matches the Rfam family "Bacterial small subunit ribosomal RNA", at positions 96 to 334 of the family's 1533-position model. The record is from RNAcentral.